This 468-nucleotide ribosomal RNA is filed under the name uncultured bacterium. RNAcentral describes it as "partial 16S ribosomal RNA". It matches the Rfam family "Bacterial small subunit ribosomal RNA", at positions 28 to 507 of the family's 1533-position model. The record is from RNAcentral.
GACGAACGCUGGCGGCGUGCUUAACACAUGCAAGUCGAACGGAAAGGCCCUGCUUUUGUUGGGUGCUCGAGUGGCGAACGGGUGAGUAACACGUGAGUAACCUGCCCUUGACUUUGGUAUAACUUCAGGACACUGGGGCUAAUACCGGAUAGGAGCUCCUGCGGCAUGGUGGGGGUUGGACAGUUUCGGCGGUUGGGGAUGGACUCGCGGCUUAUCAGCUUGUUGGUGGGGUAGUGGCUUACCAAGGCUUUGACGGGUAGCCGGCCUGAGUGGGUGACCGGCCACAUUGGGACUGAGAUACGGCCCAGACUCCUACGGGAGGGAGCAGUGGGGAAUAUUGCACAAUGGGCGGAAGCCUGAUGCAGCGACGCCGCGUGCGGGAUGACGGCCUUCGGGUUGUAAACCGCUUUCGCCUGUGACGAAGCGUGAGUGACGGUAAUGGGUAAAGAAGCACCGGCUAACUACGUG